This 236-nucleotide long non-coding RNA is filed under the name Lathyrus oleraceus (garden pea). Its description in RNAcentral is "Pisum sativum (pea) long non-coding RNA (PSAT_LNC000812)". Lineage: Eukaryota; Viridiplantae; Streptophyta; Magnoliopsida; Fabales; Fabaceae. The record is from RNAcentral.
UUAAUUGCAUAUUUAUUGUUGGAUUGCAUUGAAAUUUAAUCUAAAUUAAUUGACUUUAAUUUUUUAUUUUGGACGAAACACAUUCUAAAAACUAAUACAUUUUGCAUGUUUUUGACAGGUCCAUCGAUUGUUCAUCUUCCUAUAUUGAUAGACCAUGUGGAAUUAGCGUUUUAACCCUUAUUUAAAUUACUCACCCUAGGUCCAAAAUUUCUGUCAAAACUAAAGAUUUGAUCCAA